Long non-coding RNA from Eleginops maclovinus (Patagonian blennie), 414 nucleotides. RefSeq lists it as uncharacterized. The record is from RefSeq and is a predicted model, not a curated record. Lineage: Eukaryota; Metazoa; Chordata; Actinopteri; Perciformes; Eleginopidae. The transcript has 2 exons.
GCUGAAAAGGUGUGCCAAUUUAUUUGUUGCAUUAAUAUUUUUGUAUAUUAUUGUCAUGCAAUAUUUUUGGUUUAAGGUAGUUUUAUGUUCUUAUUCUUUCUCUAUUUCAUAUAUAAUUAGGUUAAGGUUAAAUGUGAAUUAAUAAUUUGAUGCGUAAUAAUGACGUAAUGACGUGCACAGGAAGUCUUGUGAUACACGUAGUAAGUAGUUGGGAAGACGUGCUUUCAGUCUUUUGGACCUGCGCUGCUCAAGGAGCAACAUGUGUGCAACAGUGUGUCCGUAAAGCCUUAGCAGCUCCUGAUUUUCCGGUCAGAAGGCGCACACGUUUUUCACGGUGUUUGGUGUUGGUGUUUGGUGUACUUUGUGUCUGAAGACAUUAAAUCAUUGGAAAAAAUAAACAUCACUCUCAUUAAG